Molecule: ribosomal RNA, 398 nt
Filed under: uncultured bacterium
Lineage: Bacteria
Description: bacterial SSU rRNA
Rfam family: Bacterial small subunit ribosomal RNA
Source: RNAcentral
UAUUGCACAAUGGAGGAAACUCUGAUGCAGUGACGCCGCGUGCAGGAAGAAGGUUUUCGGAUUGUAAACUGCUUUAGACAGGGAAGAAANAAGACAGUACCUGUAGAAUAAGCUCCGGCUAACUACGUGCCAGCAGCCGCGGUAAUACGUAGGGAGCAAGCGUUAUCCGGAAUUAUUGGGUGUAAAGGGUGCGUAGACGGGACAGCAAGUUAGUUGUGAAAGCCCUCGGCUUAACUGAGGAACUGCAACUAAAACUAUUGUUCUUGAGUGCAGGAGAGGAAAGCGGAAUUCCUAGUGUAGAGGUGAAAUGCGUAGAUAUUAGGAGAAACACCAGAGGCGAAGGCGGCUUUCUGGACUGUAACUGACGUUGAGGCACGAAAGUGUGGGGGGCAAACAGG